RNAcentral lists this ribosomal RNA (253 nucleotides) under uncultured bacterium. RNAcentral's name for it is "partial 16S ribosomal RNA". It matches the Rfam family "Bacterial small subunit ribosomal RNA", at positions 524 to 776 of the family's 1533-position model. The record is from RNAcentral.
UACGUAGGCAGCAAGCGUUGUUCGGAGUUACUGGGCGUAAAGGGUGUGUAGGCGGUUCUCUAAGUUUGGUGUGAAAUCUCCCGGCUCAACUGGGAGGGUGCGCCGAAAACUGGAGGGCUAGAGUACUGGAUGGGAGAGUGGAAUUCCUGGUGUAGCGGUGAAAUGCUUAGAUAUCGUCAAGAACACCUAUUGCGAAGGCAGCUAACUAAGCUUAAACUGACGCUGAGGCACGAAAGUGUGGGGAUCAAACAGG